This 245-nucleotide ribosomal RNA is filed under the name uncultured Oceanibaculum sp. RNAcentral describes it as "partial 16S ribosomal RNA". It matches the Rfam family "Bacterial small subunit ribosomal RNA", at positions 524 to 768 of the family's 1533-position model. Lineage: Bacteria; Pseudomonadati; Pseudomonadota; Alphaproteobacteria; Rhodospirillales; Oceanibaculaceae. The record is from RNAcentral.
UACGAAGGGGGCGAGCGUUGUUCGGAUUUACCGGGCGUAAAGGGCGCGCAGGCGGCUAUUUUUGUCAGGCGUGAAAGCCCCGGGCUUAACCUGGGAACUGCGCUUGAUACGGGAUGGCUAGAGAUCGGGAGAGGAGAGUGGAAUUCCCAGUGUAGAGGUGAAAUUCGUAGAUAUUGGGAAGAACACCGGUGGCGAAGGCGGCUCUCUAGUACGGUACUGACGCUGAGACGCGAAAGCGUGGGGAG